GGCCUCGUAGCUAAGAUGGCUAGAGCGUUGGCUGUACUAAAGCUUUUCCCUUUCUAUUGUGGGUUAGAAUCCCAUUGAGGUCG
RNAcentral lists this transfer RNA (83 nucleotides) under Schistocephalus solidus. It matches the Rfam family "tRNA". From Rfam's summary of the family: Transfer RNA (tRNA) molecules are approximately 80 nucleotides in length. Their secondary structure includes four short double-helical elements and three loops (D, anti-codon, and T loops). Lineage: Eukaryota; Metazoa; Platyhelminthes; Cestoda; Diphyllobothriidea; Diphyllobothriidae. The record is from Rfam by way of RNAcentral.